GAGGAUUAACCCUACCAGACCGCUGUAGUGAUUUUUCGGUAAUUUUGGAAUCUAACGCUAUACCGCUGUACCUAAUUUUUGUUACUUUGCCUAGACCUAUUUUCUACAAUGUCUCCAAGUUCCAUCUUAUUCUAACCACUUGUUUGCAUGUAACUAACAUUUUUCUAUAUCAUGUUGAAUUUUUCUCUUCAAUGCUCAGGAGCCCAGGUAUAGGGGACAGUUAGGUUCAGGGCCUCAGGUCUGGUAGGAUUUAGGUCCAA
Molecule: long non-coding RNA, 260 nt
Organism: Pipistrellus kuhlii (Kuhl's pipistrelle)
Lineage: Eukaryota; Metazoa; Chordata; Mammalia; Chiroptera; Vespertilionidae
Exons: 3
Source: RefSeq, a predicted model, not a curated record